AAAGUCGUAACAAGGUUUCCAUAGGUGAACCUGCGGAAGGAUCAUUAACGUAGGGCUCCAGCCCCGCUGAGAUAGAACCCUUGCCUUUUUCAAGCACCCGUACAUUUCCUCAGCAGGCCCGCCUGCCAGUAGGGACCCAAACACAAACCCUUAAAAUCACCUGCCACUGUCUGAGAAAACAAAACAAAAAUCAAAACUUUCAACAACAGAUCUCUUGGUUCUG
This 223-nucleotide unclassified non-coding RNA is filed under the name Ascomycota sp. Its description in RNAcentral is "partial contains small subunit ribosomal RNA, internal transcribed spacer 1, and 5.8S ribosomal RNA". The stretch from base 1 to 47 matches the Rfam family "Eukaryotic small subunit ribosomal RNA", at positions 1785 to 1831 of the family's 1831-position model. The record is from RNAcentral. Lineage: Eukaryota; Fungi; Ascomycota.